UUCACGUUAUCAUAAAUAUGAUUUAGAUGAAUUUCUUUCCUUAUUACUCGGGCUUUUUCCAGCCCGCUGUUCAAUAGCCACUUUGGUGGCACUUGGUAUUUUAGUGUAAUGGAAAUUGGGGUUUGUUGUGUUUUAUUUUUGAUAAUUGUUUAUGUACUAUUUUUCACUACCUUUUUUGAUUUCAGAGUUCAAGGUUGCACUUUAUAGAAAUUAAACAAUCAAUGGCCGAUGUCAAUGACACUUUUACUCUGGGAAAAAAAACAUCAUUCAUAUAGACAUGGUAUUAGGAAUGGACAUCGAUCUUGGACCCUAAAGGUCUAGACCUGACCGGCCCUAAUUUAAAGGUCUAAAUCCACCAUUUUUUGGACCCUGAAAAAUAGGGUCGAACCUAGAACUAUAAUUUUAGGGUUCGGGUCUGGGUCAAUAUUUUAGGACCAGAUCCGACCCAAGUUGGACCCGUAAACCCUAUGGCAGUAAUUUAAUGAAGUAUUAAAAAAAGCUAAUUCUAAAAAAAUAAACAUGUCCUCCUGUUUCACCGUGCACGGCAAGUUUUACAAAAAUUACUUCACAAGUGUUGUACAGCUAAUGGCCUAAUGUAUUUUCUUCAUAAUUACGUAUAUACUCCGUAUUUUCCAAAACCUGCAACAAAAUCUAAAAAAUCUAACAUGUAUGCCUCCGCUGUUCUUCACUUCUUCGGUUCUUCCUCUACGGCUCUUCCUCAAUGUCUCUUCCUCUAGGGCUACCAGUCCACUCGCCAGAUCUGGGGUGAAAGUUUGUAUGUUUGUCAAGGAUGCAAAGGUUCGUUGUCUCAACUAGUAACUGUUUCAAAUAAAUUUGGACCAUAUGAGGAGGUAUUAUAGGGGAUCUAAUUCCAUAUGUGUAGCUAUCUCACCUGCCAACAUCUUGAAGCUUAUGGUUCGUCUUGCCACCUGAAAGAGAAGAGUAACAUACUCUUCGAACUUCAAAGAGAAGAAAUGGUCAGGGAAGAAAUCAGAUGAAGAAAUCAGAGAUCGAAAAAAAUUAGGGAAAAAAAUCAAAUGAAGAAACAAAAGAGAUGUAUAGAUUAAAAUGGUGAAGAGACCCUGGUUAAAGGCCUAAAGGGUGAAGAGCCCAUGGUUGAGGAUAAGAAAUUGAAGAAAUCAGGGGGAAGAAAAGGUAACCGGUGAUUUUUGGUUACGAAAACUUGAACAUCUUUAAAAUCAAAUCUAGUUGAAAGUAAAAACUUUUAAAAGAUAAAUCAAAAAUAAAACCUUAGAAAUCGAACGAGAGAAAAUUUGUACAUUUAAAAUCAAAUUUUUCUAAUUCAUAUAAGCUUAAUGUAUAGAACUAUUGAUUUGUUAGUACUAAACGUUUUAAUUAAAAUAGACUAAAGUACAAGUCCAAUCAUGAUUUGUCAUGAACUU
This is a long non-coding RNA of Amaranthus tricolor (Joseph's coat), 1403 nucleotides long. RefSeq lists it as uncharacterized. The record is from RefSeq and is a predicted model, not a curated record. The transcript has 3 exons. Lineage: Eukaryota; Viridiplantae; Streptophyta; Magnoliopsida; Caryophyllales; Amaranthaceae.